RNAcentral lists this ribosomal RNA (466 nucleotides) under uncultured Pseudomonadota bacterium. RNAcentral's name for it is "bacterial SSU rRNA". It matches the Rfam family "Bacterial small subunit ribosomal RNA", at positions 8 to 522 of the family's 1533-position model. Lineage: Bacteria; Pseudomonadati; Pseudomonadota. The record is from RNAcentral.
AGAGUUUGAUCAUGGCUCAGAACGAACGCUGGCGGCAGGCUUAACACAUGCAAGUCGAGCGCCCCGCAAGGGGAGCGGCAGACGGGUGAGUAACGCGUGGGAAUCUACCCAGCUCUACGGAAUAACUCAGGGAAACUUGAGCUAAUACCGUAUACGUCCGAUAGGAGAAAGAUUUAUCGGAGUUGGAUGAGCCCGCGUUGGAUUAGCUAGUUGGUGGGGUAAUGGCCUACCAAGGCGACGAUCCAUAGCUGGUCUGAGAGGAUGAUCAGCCACACUGGGACUGAGACACGGCCCAGACUCCUACGGGAGGCAGCAGUGGGGAAUAUUGGACAAUGGGCGAAAGCCUGAUCCAGCCAUGCCGCGUGAGUGAUGAAGGCCCUAGGGUUGUAAAGCUCUUUCACCGGUGAAGAUAAUGACGGUAACCGGAGAAGAAGCCCCGGCUAACUUCGUGCCAGCAGCCGCGGUA